CCUACGGGAGGCUGCAGUGGGGAAUUUUGCACAAUGGGGGAAACCCUGAUGCAGCAAUGCCGCGUGAGUGAAGAAGGCCUUUGGGUUGUAAAGCUCUUUCGGUUGGAAAGAAGGGCUGCAUGGCUAAUAUCCAUGUAGUUUGACGGUACCAAAAGAAGAAGCACCUGCUAACUUCGUGCCAGCAGCAGCGGUAAUACGAAGGGUGCAAGCGUUGUUCGGAAUUACUGGGCGUAAAGGGCGCGUAGGCGGGUUUGUAAGUCGAAUGUGAAAUCCCCGGGCUUAACCUGGGACGUGCAUUCGAUACUGCUAAUCUUGAAUGCUUGAGAGGGUGGUGGAAUUCCUAGUGUAGAAGUGAAAUUCGUAGAUAUUAGGAGGAACACCUGAGGCGAAGGCGGCCACCUGGCAAGACAUUGACGCUAAGGCGCGAAAGUGCGGGGAGCAAACAGGAUUAGAUACCCCGGUAGUC
Molecule: ribosomal RNA, 466 nt
Filed under: uncultured bacterium
Lineage: Bacteria
Description: bacterial SSU rRNA
Rfam family: Bacterial small subunit ribosomal RNA
Source: RNAcentral